This 371-nucleotide ribosomal RNA is filed under the name uncultured Methanolinea sp. RNAcentral describes it as "bacterial SSU rRNA". It matches the Rfam family "Archaeal small subunit ribosomal RNA", at positions 970 to 1338 of the family's 1478-position model. The record is from RNAcentral. Lineage: Archaea; Methanobacteriati; Methanobacteriota; Methanomicrobia; Methanomicrobiales; Methanoregulaceae.
CUUGGACUAGCUGAGAGGAGGUGCAUGGCCGUCGUCAGUUCGUACUGUGAAGCAUCCUGUUAAGUCAGGCACGAGCGAGACCCACGCCAACAGUUGCCAGCAUGUCCUCCGGGAUGAUGGGGACACUGUUGGGACCGGCCUCUGCUAAAGAGGGAGGAAGGAAUGGGCAACGGUAGGUCAGCACUGCCCCGAAUUAUCCGGGCUACACGCGGGCUACAAUGGUCAGGACAAUGGGUAUCGACACCGAGAGGUGGAGGCAAUCUCCUAAACCUGUCCUUAGUUCGGAUUGUGGGCUGCAACUCGCCCACAUGAAGCUGGAACCCGUAGUAAUCGCGUUUCAAAAUAGCGCGGUGAAUAUGUCCCUGCUCCUU